AAUGAACGCUGGCGGCAUGCCUAACACAUGCAAGUCGAACGAAGGCUUCGGCCUUAGUGGCGCACGGGUGCGUAACGCGUGGGAAUCUGCCCUCAGGUUCGGAAUAACAGCGAGAAAUUGCUGCUAAUACCGGAUGAUAUCGCGAGAUCAAAGAUUUAUCGCCUGAGGAUGAGCCCGCGUAGGAUUAGCUAGUUGGUGUGGUAAAGGCGCACCAAGGCGACGAUCCUUAGCUGGUCUGAGAGGAUGAUCAGCCAAACUGGGACGGAGACACGGCCCAGACUCCUACGGGAGGCAGCAGUGUGGAAUAUUGGACAAUGGGCGAAAGCCUGAUCCAGCAAUGCCGCGUGAGUGAUGAAGGCCUUAGGGUUGUAAAGCUCUUUUACCCGGGAUGAUAAUGACAGUACCGGGAGAAUAAGCUCCGGCUAACUCCGUGCCAGCCGCCGCUGUAA
This 449-nucleotide ribosomal RNA is filed under the name uncultured bacterium. RNAcentral describes it as "partial 16S ribosomal RNA". It matches the Rfam family "Bacterial small subunit ribosomal RNA", at positions 29 to 523 of the family's 1533-position model. The record is from RNAcentral.